Molecule: ribosomal RNA, 578 nt
Filed under: Alternaria brassicae
Lineage: Eukaryota; Fungi; Ascomycota; Dothideomycetes; Pleosporales; Pleosporaceae
Description: eukaryotic LSU rRNA
Rfam family: 5.8S ribosomal RNA (bases 202-355)
Source: RNAcentral
ACGUCUUCCGUAGGGUAACCUGCGGAGGGAUCAUUACACAAAUAUGAAGGCGGGCUGGAACCUCUCGGGGUUACAGCCUUGCUGAAUUAUUCACCCUUGUCUUUUGCGUACUUCUUGUUUCCUUGGUGGGUUCGCCCACCACUAGGACAAACAUAAACCUUUUGUAAUUGCAAUCAGCGUCAGUAACAAAUUAAUAAUUACAACUUUCAACAACGGAUCUCUUGGUUCUGGCAUCGAUGAAGAACGCAGCGAAAUGCGAUAAGUAGUGUGAAUUGCAGAAUUCAGUGAAUCAUCGAAUCUUUGAACGCACAUUGCGCCCUUUGGUAUUCCAAAGGGCAUGCCUGUUCGAGCGUCAUUUGUACCCUCAAGCUUUGCUUGGUGUUGGGCGUCUUGUCUCUAGCUUUGCUGGAGACUCGCCUUAAAGUAAUUGGCAGCCGGCCUACUGGUUUCGGAGCGCAGCACAAGUCGCACUCUCUAUCAGCAAAGGUCUAGCAUCCAUUAAGCCUUUUUUUCAACUUUUGACCUCGGAUCAGGUAGGGAUACCCGCUGAACUUAAGCAUAUCAAAANCCGGGAGGAA